UAGGGAAUCUUCCGCAAUGGACGCAAGUCUGACGGAGCAACGCCGCGUGAGUGAAGAAGGAUUUCGGUUCGUAAAACUCUGUUGUUAGAGAAGAACAGCGCAUAGAGUAACUGUUAUGCGUGUGACGGUAUCUAACCAGAAAGCCACGGCUAACUACGUGCCAGCAGCCGCGGUAAUACGUAGGUGGCAAGCGUUGUCCGGAUUUAUUGGGCGUAAAGCGAGCGCAGGCGGUCAAUUAAGUCUGAUGUGAAAGCCCCCGGCUCAACCGGGGACGGUGAUUGGAAACUGGUUGACUUGAGUGCAGAAGAGGAGCGUGGAUUUCCAUGUGUAGCGGUGAAAGGCGUAGAUAUAUGGAGGAAAACGUGUGGCGAAGGCCACUCUCUGGUCUGUAACUUACGCUGAGGCUCGAAAGCGUGGGUAGGAAACAGG
RNAcentral lists this ribosomal RNA (429 nucleotides) under Bacteroidota bacterium. Its description in RNAcentral is "Bacteroidetes bacterium partial 16S ribosomal RNA". It matches the Rfam family "Bacterial small subunit ribosomal RNA", at positions 355 to 776 of the family's 1533-position model. Lineage: Bacteria; Pseudomonadati; Bacteroidota. The record is from RNAcentral.